RNAcentral lists this ribosomal RNA (504 nucleotides) under uncultured bacterium. RNAcentral describes it as "bacterial SSU rRNA". It matches the Rfam family "Bacterial small subunit ribosomal RNA", at positions 29 to 524 of the family's 1533-position model. The record is from RNAcentral.
AUUGAACGCUGGCGGCAUGCUUUACACAUGCAAGUCGAACGGUAACAGGCCUUCGGGUGCUGACGAGUGGCGAACGGGUGAGUAAUGCAUCGGAACGUGCCCAAUCGUGGGGGAUAACGUAGCGAAAGUUACGCUAAUACCGCAUAAGCCCUGAGGGGGAAAGCAGGGGAUCGCAAGACCUUGCGCGAAUGGAGCGGCCGAUGUCAGAUUAGCUAGUUGGUGGGGUAAAGGCCUACCAAGGCGACGAUCUGUAGCGGGUCUGAGAGGAUGAUCCGCCACACUGGGACUGAGACACGGCCCAGACUCCUACGGGAGGCAGCAGUGGGGAAUUUUGGACAAUGGGCGCAAGCCUGAUCCAGCCAUGCCGCGUGCGGGACGAAGGCCUUCGGGUUGUAAACCGCGUUUCUAGCCGGAAAGAAAUACGCCAAGGCGUAAUAUACCUUGGUGGAUGACGGUACCGGAAGAAGAAGCACCGGCUAACUACGUGCCAGCAGCCGCGGUAAA